This 1311-nucleotide long non-coding RNA is filed under the name Sus scrofa (pig). RNAcentral's name for it is "lncRNA (ENSSSCG00070009679.1)". Lineage: Eukaryota; Metazoa; Chordata; Mammalia; Artiodactyla; Suidae. The record is from RNAcentral.
GUGAGUAUUUGCGCGUGAGAACUUAGCUCACACAGGCUUUGUACAUUUUUCAUAUUGCAAACCCGUCAACAAAAGGAGGAAGAGGAUCUAAGGGGAAUGAGUGGGGUUUGCGGAUUUACGGAUUUCUCUACAUAAACCAGAAGGUUUGGGUUGGAAAUCUGCUAAAGAAAAAAGUUACAACAGACCACAGGGCUGUAAAUCCAGAGACUGGAAGGAGGAAAAGAGAAACUGUGUGUGGCUGCAGUGUUUGUGGUUAGAUGAGAACCAAGCGCUGAGCAGCACAGCGAAGGGGGUGGCUGGCAUGCUUUGCUCUGCUCUCAGAGCCAACACAAGUCGCGGAGCGCGCUGACACCACGGAGCACGAUCUCGGGGCCCCUCUGUGCCGCCCAGGGUCCUGCGCAUCUGCUUGCCCCGCGCUCCGCCCUGCGCCGGCCGCGUCUUCGGGGUCCCCGCGCCCCUACCCUGAGCGCUUCCGCCUGCGCUGAGCUCCCUGCGCGCCUGCAGCCCCAGCGCGGCAGCAGCGGGAACUCUUCUCUCCCGUGUUGGGACCCCACAGCUUGGACGACAGGGACCCCAGGACGCCUCCAUCACGUCAAGGCAGGCCUCUUCUUCUAAAGCAAGGGAAUGGACUCAGACUCUGGGUCUGAGCACCAGUGUUUGUUGCUCUGCAGGACCGGCAGCCUGGGUCAAGGAGGACACCGAGGGACUGCAGAGGUGCAGGCACAGGACUGAUUAGAGCAGUCGUGUUCGUAUUCCGGAGUUGCUAUGGCAAUCACGCCAGGUUGCAGGCAUUUUCUCAGUAUCAGGAUCCUUUAAGCAUUUGGGAGGAAAAGCGACAAAUUAUUUCAAUUAGAGAAAAUGUGCUGAGUACUGGCCUUGAAACAAAUCACAAAAAGGAUUAGCAAAUAGUCCGCAUUGUUUCGAAGGGGAAAGUGUGCAAUUGCAAAGCAAGCCUCUGGCGCUGGCUACUUUUGUGUUUCCUUAGCCACUUCUCUUCCUACCCUACAGUCCCAAUUUUUUUUUUAACUGUACAUUGAGCUAAUAAUGUGUAGAAUUAAUUUUGAUCACACAACAAGCUAAACUGGGAUCUUCCAACCACUCAUCUCAACGCAGACAGCUCCAGAAUACUGCCCACAGCAGCCCGUGGGGUGGAGGAAGAACGCUGAUUUGCAGAGAGGAGUCCUAGAGCCACAUAGAAGGAAGGGGGCUACAACAACAAGGGUAUGACAUGAGAUGUUAUAAUGAUUGAAAUCCUUAAAUAUAAACCGGGAGCCAAAGGAAUAAAGAGUUUAUUUCCUCAAAUUAGCUUCA